CUGGCUCAGGAUGAACGCUAGCUACAGGCUUAACACAUGCAAGUCGAGGGGCAGCAUGGUCUUAGCUUGCUAAGGCUGAUGGCGACCGGCGCACGGGUGAGUAACACGUAUCCAACCUGCCGUCUACUCUUGGACAGCCUUCUGAAAGGAAGAUUAAUACAAGAUGGCAUCAUGAGUCCGCAUGUUCACAUGAUUAAAGGUAUUCCGGUAGACGAUGGGGAUGCGUUCCAUUAGAUAGUAGGCGGGGUAACGGCCCACCUAGUCUUCGAUGGAUAGGGGUUCUGAGAGGAAGGUCCCCCACAUUGGAACUGAGACACGGUCCAAACUCCUACGGGAGGCAGCAGUGUGGAAUAUUGGUCAAUGGGCGAGAGCCUGAACCAGCCAAGUAGCGUGAAGGAUGACUGCCCUAUGGGUUGUAAACUUCUUUUAUAAAGGAAUAAAGUCGGGUAUGCAUACCCGUUUGCAUGUACUUUAUGAAUAAGGAUCGGCUAACUCCGUGCCAGCAGCCGCGGUAAUACGGAGGAUCCGAGCGUUAUCCGGAUUUAUUGGGUUUAAAGGGAGCGUAGAUGGAUGUUUAAGUCAGUUGUGAAAGUUUGCGGCUCAACCGUAAAAUUGCAGUUGAUACUGGAUAUCUUGAGUGCAGUUGAGGCAGGCGGAAUUCGUGGUGUAGCGGUGAAAUGCUUAGAUAUCACGAAGAACUCCGAUUGCGAAGGCAGCCUGCUAAGCUGCAACUGACAUUGAGGCUCGAAAGUGUGGGUAUCAAACAGGAUUAGAUACCCUGGUAGUCCACACGGUAAACGAUGAAUACUCGCUGUUUGCGAUAUACAGCAAGCGGCCAAGCGAAAGCGUUAAGUAUUCCACCUGGGGAGUACGCCGGCAACGGUGAAACUCAAAGGAAUUGACGGGGGCCCGCACAAGCGGAGGAACAUGUGGUUUAAUUCGAUGAUACGCGAGGAACCUUACCCGGGCUUAAAUUGCAGAUGAAUUACGGUGAAAGCCGUAAGCCGCAAGGCAUCUGUGAAGGUGCUGCAUGGUUGUCGUCAGCUCGUGCCGUGAGGUGUCGGCUUAAGUGCCAUAACGAGCGCAACCCUUGUUGUCAGUUACUAACAGGUUCCGCUGAGGACUCUGACAAGACUGCCAUCGUAAGAUGUGAGGAAGGUGGGGAUGACGUCAAAUCAGCACGGCCCUUACGUCCGGGGCUACACACGUGUUACAAUGGGGGGUACAGAGGGCCGCUACCACGCGAGUGGAUGCAAUCCCAAAAACUCUCUCAGUUCGGACUGGAGU
This 1287-nucleotide ribosomal RNA is filed under the name uncultured bacterium. RNAcentral describes it as "bacterial SSU rRNA". It matches the Rfam family "Bacterial small subunit ribosomal RNA", at positions 19 to 1304 of the family's 1533-position model. The record is from RNAcentral.